GCGUCGGUGGGGUAGUGGUAACCUGGGUCGUUGCCAAAAGCUCGAAGUAAUGAACUUCGACCCGCCGGGGGUUCGAUUCCCUCCCGACGCA
Non-coding RNA from Mycena rosella, 91 nucleotides. The record is from the annotation of a GenBank genome assembly. Lineage: Eukaryota; Fungi; Basidiomycota; Agaricomycetes; Agaricales; Mycenaceae.